GGAGUCUGGGCCGUAUCUCAGUCCCAAUGUGGCCGUUCAACCUCUCAGUCCGGCUACUGAUCGCAGUCUUGGUAGGCCGUUACCCCACCAACUAACUAAUCAGAUAUGAGCCCAUCUUUCAGCGGAUUGCUCCUUUGGUAUCAAAAGGAUGCCCCCUCGAUACAUUAUGCGGUAUUAGCAGUCGUUUCCAACUGUUGUCCCCCUCUGAAAGGCAGGUUGCUCAUACAUUACUCACCCGUCCGCCACUAAGUCAAAUUCACCUUCGACGAAUCUCCGGUAAAAGUGCUUCGUUCGACUUGCAUGUGUUAGGCACGCCGCCAGCGUUCAUC
This 329-nucleotide ribosomal RNA is filed under the name uncultured Oscillospiraceae bacterium. RNAcentral describes it as "partial 16S ribosomal RNA". Lineage: Bacteria; Bacillati; Bacillota; Clostridia; Eubacteriales; Oscillospiraceae. The record is from RNAcentral.